RNAcentral lists this ribosomal RNA (434 nucleotides) under uncultured Verrucomicrobiota bacterium. RNAcentral describes it as "bacterial SSU rRNA". It matches the Rfam family "Bacterial small subunit ribosomal RNA", at positions 958 to 1385 of the family's 1533-position model. The record is from RNAcentral. Lineage: Bacteria; Pseudomonadati; Verrucomicrobiota.
AACGCGAAGAACCUUACCUGGCCUUGACAUGCUGGUAGUAGGAGCCUGAAAGGGUGACGACUCAUCGUAAGAUGAGAGCCAGCACAGGUGCUGCAUGGUUGUCGUCAGCUCGUGUCGUGAGAUGUUGGCUUAAGUGCCGCAACGAGCGCAACCCUUGUGUUUAGUUGCCUGCGCAAGCGGGAUCUCUAAACAGACUGCCUCGCUUUAAACGAGGAGGAAGGUGGGGAUGACGUCAAAUCAGUAUGGCCCUUACGGCCAGGGCUGCACACGUGCUACAAUGCAUGGUACAGAGGGACGCAAGACCGCGAGGUGGAGCAAAUCCCACAAAACCAUGCCCAGUUCAGAUUGAAGGCUGCAACUCGCCUUCAUGAAGCCGGAAUCGCUAGUAAUGGCGCAUCAGCUACGGCGCCGUGAAUACGUUCCCGGGCCUUGUA